UGAUCAUAUUCAUAACCUCGACCACCGAUGCACCGAUGAGCUUCCGACUAUCGACAGUGACCAUCAGUGGAUACACGCAGUUCCCGUAGUAACCAUUGUCGACAAAGUGGUGGCGAACAUUGGCAGGGAUGCCGAUAGUAAAAUCGGCAUGAUGCUCCAAGAUGAUUGCCCUUGCUCUGGCCUGCCAUAACACUGCUGACAAGAUCUCAAAGGUGGACCAGGUUUGCCCGGUCUGGCUCCUGAACCGGAUUUUGAG
Molecule: unclassified non-coding RNA, 256 nt
Filed under: Hevea brasiliensis (rubber tree)
Lineage: Eukaryota; Viridiplantae; Streptophyta; Magnoliopsida; Malpighiales; Euphorbiaceae
Source: RNAcentral